Molecule: long non-coding RNA, 671 nt
Filed under: Vigna radiata
Lineage: Eukaryota; Viridiplantae; Streptophyta; Magnoliopsida; Fabales; Fabaceae
Description: long non-coding RNA (VRAD_LNC014841)
Source: RNAcentral
UAUUAUUCAUACCAAUUUUAUAACUUUUCCCAUUCAACUGAACAUAAUACCUUAUAGUCUAUAUAGCAACCUGAAUAAAAAUGCUGCAUUGAAAUCUUUCAUGAUUUUUCCUCCUCCGUACCAUCCACACACUGAAAGUCACACCCGCGAUUAGUUCCAAUAAAGCACUAUUAGGAAGCUUAAAAAAAGAAAUUAAAUUAUUCAUGGAAAAUCAACUCAGAUAAGGAAAUGUGCAAUUAACUCAAACGCUAUAAAAUUUAUUAUAUUUAUAUUGAUUAAAGUAACUAUAAUUAUUUCAAUUGCUAUAUAAUUUUAGCAAUUAUAUGUUAAUUGCUUUGAGCUGUGUGAGAUUUUUGGGAAAGAGAUUAAUUGAUUUCAAAAAUGUAUUAUCAUUUUAAAAAUAUAUUAAGUUUGCAGAUAAAUUAAUUUAUUUAGUAUGUAAGAAACUAAAAAGAAAGAAAUUAGAAGUCAUAAAAUGCAGUAUGCACUUUAACUUUUUUUCUAAUAAAUGAAAACAUAACCGACUACCGAGAAUCGUUCGUUCCGAAUUCGAUAGACGACAACUGCUGUUGGAGAGAGAGAAAAGCGCGGACAGUUGCAAUAUUAGCAGUGGCAGUGGCACACUCCGUCACUUUCUUAUUCCCCUUCUCAUGUCUCAAAAGUUAAACCCU